Molecule: RNA transcript, 2549 nt
Organism: Chenopodium quinoa (quinoa)
Lineage: Eukaryota; Viridiplantae; Streptophyta; Magnoliopsida; Caryophyllales; Amaranthaceae
Exons: 9
Source: RefSeq, a predicted model, not a curated record
AGAGAGAAAGCUAAGUGGGGUUUAGUAAGCGUAUAGCUUCUGUUUACAUGAAAUGUUGGCGGUUUGAUAAAUAAUGUCAACGGUAUAUAGCGAUUCAUUAAGGAUACUACGUACCACUCAAACAACACAAUACAUCAAAGGGUAUCACUUUCCUUCCUCACCCUUUCACUUUCUUGAUUUCAUUCCCUUUACCCCAUCUAAACCAAACGCCCCAUAAAACUGUACGUACAUUGAGGAGAAUUUCAGUACACUACUUCCUAACCUAUAUUGCAACUUGCAAGUAAAGUUUUACAAGAACGGUUUGGCCACCAAGCUCACAUCAGACCAUCCCACAUGAGAUUUGAUUUAUUUUUAUAGAUUGCUAAAUACUGCCAUAACAAAUUAUCAAAUUGCCAUCAUUUUAAGCAAAGAGAUAUCCUUACCCUUACAAAAUUUUUUCCCUAUUUUCUUUCUCUAACUUUAGUCCAUCCACCACUUUUAAAACAACCAAGUCAACCACCACCAAUCAUGACACUGAUACGACCCACGCCACCAUGACCCUUAUUUUUUUCUUUAGGAUUAGCAGAGAGUGCGCCCUACAGUGAGAAAACAAAACACAAGCCAAACCCUAGCCUAGCCAAUGUGGUCACAAACCAGACCCUUGUCACAGAAAUGCAGUCUUCCCUUCUUCUCCUCUGCUUUUUCCACAUUCAAAACCCUGAUUAUGAUUCCAAUGAACCGUUCUCACAGAAUCACUAGAAGAACUCUUAGUAGAACCAAAAGUCAAACCUCCAUUAUCACUUCCUUCUCAAGGUCAUCAACAACAAGGUCACUCUCUCUUCCACCUUCAACAAGAGACCCCAUUGAUGGGGUUCUCACAUUGCAAGAGUGGCAGAAUUGGGGCACUAAUUCCCCUGUUCCUGCUUCUGUUAUUGAUGCCAUUCAUUACUUGAAGGCUUUGGAAACAGAAACUGAUGUUCAGAUGGAUUUUGGUGGCAAUGGUGGCCGACUCACUGGUGAAUUCAAAAUUAAAGAGGAUAAGAAGCAUAGAGCAGCCUAUAAGGCAUUGAGUGACUCAGAAAUGAAGCUUCAGUUUUUCUCAGCACGACAGAUAGCUUGUCGUUUACUUGGCAGUCGUGGAUACCUUUGUCAGAAGUGCUGGCUUCCAUAUGAAGAAGAUUGCAUGUGCUUGAAAGUCAAACCUAGCCCACUUUGGCAUGGGAUACGAUUUUGGUUGUACAUGCAUCCUAAGGAUUUUUUGCGGCAAAACAACACAGGAAAGGUGUUAUGGCAAGUGUUUGGUGUGCAGGCAGCAACAUUGUGCCUCUAUGGUAUUGCUGAACAUGAAGACAUAAUGUGGAAUGAAUUUAAGAAAGCAGGAAAAAACAUGGUGUGGUGCAUGUAUCCUAGUAAGCCUGGAAUUCCCAAGUCCGUAAAGGAUUACUUCUUAUGUGAUACGCCAAGUAUUGAAGAUAGCAAUUUGGACAAGACAAGUGGAGAUAAUAUCUUGAAUUUCAUUCUUAUAGAUGGAACAUGGAGCAAUUCUACGGCAAUGUUCAAGCGGUUAAAGGAGCGAGCAAAACUUGAGUGGGGAGAGGAUGGCAUAACUUGCAUAUCGGUUGCAACAGGUGCUUCAGCAAUGCACAGACUUAGGCCCCAACCAUCAUGGGAUCGCACUUGCACAGCAGCAGCAGCUGCUGGCCUUCUAUCUGAAUUACAGCUUAUUCCUCAAUUCAGUUCAUAUUGUCUCGAUAAACAGGGUGAAGCUAUAGAAGAUACUUUGGAUGUUUUGCUAGAGGCUCUUACUACUCGGCGCCUUCGAAUGGGCAGGUCCAUUACGCGCAAAAUGAGGAGUGGCUAUGUCUGUUAAAAUUGACUAUGCUAUUGACAGUUGUUUCCCAGAAUGUUGCAGGAAUCAUCAUUAGUCAAGGUUUAGAAAGCCAUUAACACAAAAUUUAAAUUGAGUGUUCCUAUGUGCUAAGGUGUGUAGUGGGUGUUGCAUGUUCCUAAGGCAUCCUCGGAAUUGAGAUCAAAAUUGCAACAACUCAGAAAAAUGGUGGAAGAUAUAAAUUAUUCAAUAUGAUUUUGCGGAAAAUCAUUUAAAACUAAUCUUAAUCGUAGUCUUAGUCAACUUUUAUUAUUAUAAUAAUUGAGAUUUCCUUUUUUUUUUUUUUUUUUUUUUUUUUUUUUUUGUAGUUUUUUAGUUAUUAGGUAAUUGAAUUUAUGAAUGCAAGCUUUUGCUGCUUGUAUAUGAAGUGGAGUUAAGUGUAUAUUGUACUUGUAUAAAAUAUAAUUUUCUAUCAUUAAUUGAUAAAAUGAUUGUGCUAACUAGCUGUCCAGCAUAUGCUGGAAUUUUUUUUAAGAAAAUUGGGGCAAACACUAUUUGUAACGGGUAAAUAUCCUAACGAUUACAAAUAACGGGGUUAAUUGUAACAGGCACAUGUUUUGUCUGUUCGAAUAACCUCGUUAUUUGUACUCGCUCUGUGUUUUAAUACGGAGUAAGUGUUACACUUCGACUGACACAUAGUUUUAGGUAAUUUAAUUGACUAAAAUAAAAUAAGAGAUAAGUG